Molecule: ribosomal RNA, 137 nt
Filed under: uncultured bacterium
Lineage: Bacteria
Description: partial 16S ribosomal RNA
Rfam family: Bacterial small subunit ribosomal RNA
Source: RNAcentral
UGGGGGAUAUUGCACAAUGGGGGGAACCCUGAUGCAGCGACGCCGCGUGGGUGAAGAAGCGCCUCGGCGCGUAAAGCCCUGUCAGCAGGGAAGAAAAUGACGGUACCUGAAGAAGAAGCCCGGGCUAACUACGUGCC